Molecule: long non-coding RNA, 1402 nt
Filed under: Scophthalmus maximus (turbot)
Lineage: Eukaryota; Metazoa; Chordata; Actinopteri; Pleuronectiformes; Scophthalmidae
Description: lncRNA (ENSSMAG00000022496.1)
Source: RNAcentral
CUACAGUACGAAGCAGAGUCUACCGCAAUCAUAAAUAAAUCAAUUCAUCAGGAGAAGUCAGAUGGUUCAAUGGUUCAGAUGCACAGCAGGAAACUGCGGAGAGGGCAGGGACUGAGUGUUUGCAGCAGCCGAUCAACAAGACUCACUGAGAGACCUCAACCUCUUCCUCGCUACGAUUCAGGAAAUACUGACUAAAGAGGCAGGUGCUGUACAACAAAAGUACAAGGAUAUGCUUCAUUUAUAGAAUCCAUUUAAAGUGUCUUUACUUUUAGAUGUACACAAAGACAAAACAAAAAUCUAGAAAAAGGGAGAAGUAAUGUCUGUCAAAGUUGAACUAUGAUGCUAACCUGCUGCCACUUCAGCAAUUGUUUCCAGUAAGAAAGUCUGAAUCCCUGUUGUGAGUUGGAGAGUUCAGGUAAGACAAGCAAGCAGCCAACCAAGUCAUAUAUUUUCUUCUGAGCGAAAAAUGCUUUUCAUAAUCACUACUAAACUACAAAAAAGGAGGAGUGAGGAUUAAAUGGCUAAACAUCAACGUGUUGACUAACGCCGGUCUUUCAUUUUCAGGCCAUGACAGAUGCACCUUACGGCAACUAAAACCCACAACAUGGAGCGGUAUUAUGCAUGGACUUUGGAUUUUUCGUCCGUUGCCGGUCACUUGCUGUUUACAUGGGUGGAGAUCGGAAGUGCCGGGCGGUGUUGCAGGAAACUGUGUCGGGUUUUGUUUACCACCAUCCACCCUCAUCCUCAAGACUUUGAACCAGAAUCAGCCUCACAUCUCCAUCCUCUCUCCCAACUGAAAUGAUGCCAGCGGCAGGGCUUUCACUGAUCUAUGCUGGUUUCAACACUUGAUUCUGCAUGGUGGCUUUCAAAGAUCGGGAAAGAUUCCAAAGCGGAAGAAGGAUCCCCCUGUGCGUCUUUGAUGUGUGACUGGCAGGUUCAGUCCAUGUUUGAGGUCGGUCUGAACCAAGACACAUUCCCCGAAUUGGUGUUGCAUCCUUUGCCCACAGGGCUUACACUGCUCGACUUAAGUAGAACCAAUAACGUGGGAUUAGCCUACAGUUACAUGGAUAUCAAUUAUGGGCCCAUAAAGCAUAAAUUGUCUUCUUAACAGAUUCAGUAGCUUUAGAUGCCAUAAUCUAAAUAUAUGUUUUAUAUUAUCCAAGCUCAGAGCUUUGUGUGUUUGAGUUGUGUGUUUGGAAAAUCUGCUCCCGUGUCUCAGUAAAUCCCACUGCACUUACGUGUCUCUCGUUGUCUGAGAUUUAUUUCUGUGCGAGUGUGUGCAUGUGCCUUCUCCUCGUGUUGUGUUUAACUGUAAGGGACAGCAGUAAUGUUCCCGGGUCAAACUAACCUGGUGCAUUUCAACCGUCCGUAUCUCAAUAAACAAUAUCUUUGUUCCUUAAAA